UGGGGAAUAUUGCACAAUGGGCGCAAGCCUGAUGCAGCCAUGCCGCGUGUGUGAAGAAGGCCUUCGGGUUGUAAAGUACUUUCAGCGGGGAGGAAGGGAGUAAAGUUAAUACCUUUGCUCAUUGACGUUACCCGCAGAAGAAGCACCGGCUAACUCCGUGCCAGCAGCCGCGGUAAUACGGAGGGUGCAAGCGUUAAUCGGAAUUACUGGGCGUAAAGCGCACGCAGGCGGAUUGUUAAGUCAGAUGUGAAAUCCCCGGGCUCAACCUGGGAACUGCAUCUGAUACUGGCAAGCUUGAGUCUCGUAGAGGGAGGUAGAAUUCCGGGUGUAGCGGUGAAAUGCGUAGAGAUCUGGAGGAAUACCGGUGGCGAAGGCGGCCCCCUGGACGAAGACUGACGCUCAGGUGCGAAAGCGUGGGGAGCAAACAGG
Molecule: ribosomal RNA, 429 nt
Filed under: Chloroflexota bacterium
Lineage: Bacteria; Bacillati; Chloroflexota
Description: Chloroflexi bacterium partial 16S ribosomal RNA
Rfam family: Bacterial small subunit ribosomal RNA
Source: RNAcentral